This 492-nucleotide ribosomal RNA is filed under the name uncultured bacterium. Its description in RNAcentral is "partial 16S ribosomal RNA". It matches the Rfam family "Bacterial small subunit ribosomal RNA", at positions 29 to 507 of the family's 1533-position model. The record is from RNAcentral.
AGUGAACGCUGGCGGUAGGCCUAACACAUGCAAGUCGAACGGAAGCACAGUAAGAGCUUGCUCUUACGGGUGGCGAGAGGCGGAAGGGUGAGGAAAACAUCGGAAUCUACUUUUUCGUGGGGGUUAACGUAGGGAAACUUACGCUAAUAUCGCAUACGACCUACGGGUGAAAGCAGGGGAUAUUCGGACCUUGCGCGAUUGAAUGAGCCGAUGUCGGAGUAGCUAGUUGGCGGGGUAAAGACCCACCCAGGCGACGAUACGUAGCUGGACUGAGUGGAGGGUCGGCCACACGGGAACGGGGACGCGGUCAAUGGUCCUACGGUAGGGAGCAGUGGGGAAUAGUGGACAGUGGGGGGGAGCCUUGUCCAGCCAGACCGCGUGUGUGAAGGAGACCUUCGGGUUGUAAAGCCCUUUUGUUGGUAGAGAAAAGCAUCAGGUUAAUACCCCGCGGUUCUGACGGUACCCAAUGAAUAAGCACCGGCUAACUACGUG